CUGUACUGAAUUUCCUUGAUGAGCUAGAGCAGAUUACGUGAUCGUGGAUGUGAUUGAAAUGGGGAGCUUCCUCUUCAUCUUGACAGUCGGAAAGUGGAUAAUCUCAUCUUUCUCAGCUACCCAUCUCCAAGAAAAAGGUCUUUGCAGAACUAAAGGAUCUUGGCAUCUUGCCAAUUAAAUUACAUUAGCAGAGUUAGUAUCACCAACGCUCAUCGUCAUUGGGAGAGUAGUUGCACUUUCCACCAUUGUGGCCACAUACUUUGAACGAAGUGGCUGCUCUUGUCGGAGCCAUAUAGACACAAUUGAGUAAUGCAACAAGUACCUUCAUCAUCCACUUUGACUUCAGAAAUUUGGCUCAAUGCUCAUAAUUUUCAUAAUUUGGACUUCCAGCUCAAAUUCAAAUCAAUUUGAAAGGUGGACGACGAUCUUGCGUAAGAUUGAAGUGAGUUAGCUGCUUCUUUUUCGGAGGCAGAUACUGUUUCGAGGAGCUAAUUACUAUUUACAAACAGUGCUGGGUUGUGCUAGAACAUUGUUUGAAGCUUCCUUGUGCGGGAAGAUUGAAUUUCAUGCACUGAAGUGAAAGAGGGAGCUGGGUUUUUGUUCACUGGCAGACAGAAAAAACGAGCCUUUUGUUCUGAGGUUGUUUCAAUCUAAACCUAGGUAUUAGCAUAAGGGUUCUUAGGUGGAACAAGACGUGUAAUAGGAGCCUUGAUUGAGUCAUGUUGACGAAUGAAAAUUUUUGCAAAUUCUUUCAAUGAUUUGAUGUUG
Long non-coding RNA from Rosa rugosa (rugosa rose), 768 nucleotides. RefSeq lists it as uncharacterized. The transcript is spliced from 2 exons. NCBI's taxonomy places the organism in Eukaryota, Viridiplantae, Streptophyta, Magnoliopsida, Rosales, Rosaceae. The record is from RefSeq and is a predicted model, not a curated record.